RNAcentral lists this microRNA precursor (115 nucleotides) under Mus spretus (western wild mouse). Lineage: Eukaryota; Metazoa; Chordata; Mammalia; Rodentia; Muridae. The record is from RNAcentral.
AGGAUCAAGGGGAGGGAGGUUACCCAUGGCUCUUACUGAAGACUGGCAGUUACACUGUAGCUGUUGGUUUCAAGCGGACGCCUAGAGAACUGUCUUCCUGUGGUUUGUUAGCUAC